UGGGGAAUAUUGCGCAAUGGGGGAAACCCUGACGCAGCAACGCCGCGUGAGUGAGGAAGGAUUUCGGUCUGUAAAGCUCUGUUAAUGUGGAAAAAUGGUAACUGGUCUAAUAGGCCGGUUAUUUGAUGGUACACAUAGAGGAAGCACCGGCUAACUUCGUGCCAGCAGCCGCGGUAAUACGAAGGGUGCAAGCGUUGUUCGGAUUUAUUGGGCGUAAAGCGCGCGUAGGCGGACCUGUAAGUCAGAUGUGAAAUCUCGGGGCUCAACCCCGAAACUGCGUCUGAAACUACAGGUCUAGAAUCUCGGAGGGGAAAGGGGUAUUUCACAUGUAGGGGUAAAAUCCGUAGAUAUGUGAAGGAACACCAGAGGCGAAGGCGCCUUUCUGGACGAGUAUUGACGCUGAGGCGCGAAAGCGUGGGGAUCAAACA
This 428-nucleotide ribosomal RNA is filed under the name uncultured Bacteriovorax sp. RNAcentral's name for it is "bacterial SSU rRNA". It matches the Rfam family "Bacterial small subunit ribosomal RNA", at positions 355 to 774 of the family's 1533-position model. Lineage: Bacteria; Pseudomonadati; Bdellovibrionota; Bacteriovoracia; Bacteriovoracales; Bacteriovoracaceae. The record is from RNAcentral.